Molecule: small RNA, 282 nt
Filed under: Otolemur garnettii (small-eared galago)
Lineage: Eukaryota; Metazoa; Chordata; Mammalia; Primates; Galagidae
Description: Metazoan signal recognition particle RNA (ENSOGAG00000031468.1)
Source: RNAcentral
GCCGGGCGUUGUGGCGGGCGCCUGUGGUCCCAGCUACUUGGGAGGCGGAGGCAGGAGACUCGCUUAAGCCCAGGAGUUGGAGGUUGCUGUGAGCUGUGAUGCCACGGCACUCUACCCAGGGGGACAGCUUGAGGCUCUGUCUCAAAAAAAAAAAAAAAAAGAAAGAAAAGAAAUACAAAAUCUUUUUUUGAGACAGAGUCUCACUCUGUCACUCUUGGUAGAGUGCUGUGGCACUGUAUCUCAUAGCAACCUCAAACUCUUGGGCUCAAGCGAUCCUCUUGC